RNAcentral lists this small nucleolar RNA (87 nucleotides) under Phocoena sinus (vaquita). Its description in RNAcentral is "Small nucleolar RNA SNORD35 (ENSPSNG00000014666.1)". It matches the Rfam family "Small nucleolar RNA SNORD35". Rfam says of the family: U35 is a C/D box snoRNA located in intron 6 of ribosomal protein L13A and intron 3 of ribosomal protein S11 in humans and at homologous positions in mouse and chicken ribosomal protein genes. U35 guides the methylation of 2'-O-ribose sites in 28S rRNA. RNAcentral also lists the same sequence under 1 other name. Lineage: Eukaryota; Metazoa; Chordata; Mammalia; Artiodactyla; Phocoenidae. The record is from Rfam by way of RNAcentral.
AGCAAAUGAUGGCUUUUUCUCACGAUGGUCUGCAGAUGCCACUGUGGGCAGUGCCGAUAAACCCAAUGGCUCAGCUGAUGCCAGGAG